Molecule: long non-coding RNA, 3097 nt
Organism: Brachypodium distachyon (stiff brome)
Lineage: Eukaryota; Viridiplantae; Streptophyta; Magnoliopsida; Poales; Poaceae
Exons: 4
Source: RefSeq, a predicted model, not a curated record
GAGGUUCACGCCGAACAGCCUGAGCCGCCUUGUCGGCGCCGAGGCUGGGCUGCAGGUCCUGCCAUCUGCGUCCCACUGCGACUCCCCUGCGAUCAUUCACCGGAAAUUAAUGGUGUGCUAAUCAAGGUAGAGAUCGAGCAGGACUCCCAAGCAACGAUCGAGCUGGUUUCGGCUGGAUUCAUACACAGUGGAUUGGAAUCUGACUGUAAGGCAUUUGGGGAGCACCAACUGUUGCUGGAGGAUUGGAAUCACAGGACACUGGGUGAUCUGUUUGUUAUGAAUUUAUAAGUGGCAGAUCUGUAUCAGAUUCCGUAAAAUAUCAGGGACAAAAAUCAGCCAUGUCGCUUUGCUUGCUUCUUUGGAGACAGGUAUUCCAUCACAUGGUUUUUGGGGAAGCCGUUAUGGCUAGAUACAUUGUGUGCUGACUAAUACAUGCUUAUGUUAAGUAUUAUUCCGUUUGUCAAACUUUUGGAGAAACCGGAGGGGCCAUGAUCGAGGAGGGGGUCAUUUUUAUGUUAGGAGUGUUCAUGGGGCUUCAAGUCCCCAAACGCCAGGAUCAAAACUGGACCUGCACAGAGAUCACUUCCCCAAUUUCCAACAAGCCCUGAAUCAGGUGGUAAGAUUUUUUGUCCCCAGUUCCUCACGUCCUCUCCACUAUUGCUUAAUUAUUUGCUAGUGCAACUCCCACCCCUCAUAGUUACUCCUAUUCUGACACAAAUCCCCAGAAAAUCAUGUAUUCUGUUGUUUGCACUUUGCACACAGAGGUAUGCAAUAAAGAAAAUCGAGGCUCAGUAACUACACUCUACAUGUACUGCAAAAAAGUAUCUAUACUUGAUUGCAUUUGCAUAUAUAAUUAGGACUGAUUAAACUACAAGUCCUAUGUUUAGCAUCUCUUGGAGUAUGGAACAUACACAAGUAAUUAACUUCAAAUUGUUCAACAAGUACAGUGUCUUCUGUGUAAGAAAAGCCGUAAAGGUUAAUUACUAUAGUUAUGCAGAUGAUGACCCGGCCUAUUGUAAAUGUUAAAUAUAGCCGCUAACAUUUUUUUGGAAAAUAAUGGAAAAUAUGUACGAUGGGGAAUGCAAUAUUCUUGAAUUUUCGAAUCAAAAUAGAAGCGCGAUGUGGUUUCCUUUUCCUUUCAGAAUCACAAGUUGGGUAUGCAGUAGUAUAGUCAAACCAUACAAUUUUCAUAUCGCCGGUUGCAUGUCUAGACUUUGAUCAAAGAAGCAAUAAACAAAAUAUAGUACCCGUAAACUUGAUUAUAUUGCGUGUUAUCAAUGUCAAAGAGUGUCAGGAAGUACUAGAUUGUAACUACAAUAUUGGUACUCAUGCUACAUUGCCCUAGUGCAUGCACUUGUUGUGAAUUUUGACCAAGUGUAUCAUAUUUAAACAUGACCAUGAGUAGGAGCUGGGGAGCCAUGCAGCAGGUCCUCUUUUCUUAACUCAAUCAUGCAGCUCACCUGCCCAAUCUUUUGAUAAUGCAGGUUUGGUUUUUCCAUGCACAUGAAUGAGUUGGUAUCCUAUGGGAAUUGAAUACAUGAUAACUCAAGAUAAGGGGACACAUGCUAAUGCUCCUUAGUGUUGUUAUUCUUGUGGUCUCAGCUCCUUUCCAUUGAGGCCGUGCAUGUUUUGCUAAGUUCAUGCAGAUGUAGGACUAAAGAGCCUUGAGUGCAGCAUGUUACUCUCCGUUAAACAAAUAUAUACAUGCCACCAUGGGAAGUGUGCCAUUAAGCAUUACCAAUCUCGGGCCUUUAAAUAUUGGGAAAACCAAAAGUAUCUAGAUUAGUCAAAUCAAAAUGACACCAAUAAAUUUGUUGUCGAAAAAUAGUUUCAAGAAAUGAAUUACAGCAUCAUAGUCGUUUGCUGGCAUAUCAUUACAAAACCAAGGGUCAAGCACUCUUCCAACCUAAACUGUUUACCUUUUCCAUGUCACCUCACAAGGUACAUGAACCCAUGAAAGUCAAACACUGUAAGGUUGACCAUCAACAUAGAAGCAUUUACCUGACAUCCACGAUGCCGAAUUGAUAAUAUUAACUCCAUAACAUAUAUGUCCACAAUGUAUACUUGUUUUUUUAUAUGAAUAAACAUAUUUUCUUACAAAUGGUCAACAUCGUAAUUUUGGAGACGGAGUCAGUGUUGAUGUAUCGAGAACUCAUUCAAGAUCCCUUUUUUUUUUAGGUAUUAUAAAGCUAACACGAUCAAUCAGAUCGAGCUUGGGAGCACCAGCUUACAAACACAUAGCUAGAUCAUCAUGAUCUAGUCUGGUUAUUUCUACAGCAUAAUCUUCAUGGUUUGGUAAUUAAGUUUUAAAAAAUCUUCAUGCAUGAUUUGGUCAUUUCUUUCUGGGGAACUUAAUGAUGGACACCACGGAGCUCAUUUCUGUGAGAUCUAAAGCAUUUGCAUAUGUUGUGGACUAGCUUGGGACCAUGCAUAUAUGCAUGGUGUGCACAACCACCAUUGCAUCCUGCAUUCAUUGUGUCUAUGGGACAGCUCCCUGUAGCUAUAGCUAAAGCUGCCUAAGUUUCUGCACCAAGCAAGAAGCUGCAAAGUGUGUGCACGCAGCUGCAGCUGAACCGAUCGAGCUGAGCUGAAUCUGCAGCGAUCUUUUGAGCAGAUCUUGGUGGGAAGGAAGAAGAGAUGGAUGGAUGGAUGGAUGGAUGAUCCUUGAACAGGAACUGAAGACCGGUCGAUCGGAAGGUGACGCAUGAGAGAAAAGAAUUUUGGUGUGUUCUCAGAUACCCUUUUGUUACCCCUCAGCAGAGCAUGCAUUAUGUCGUGCUAGGUACUCCCUCCGUCGCAUAAUUCUUAUCGAUAUAUUACAUGUAUAUAGACGUUUUUUUAUAAUAGAUAUAUCCGGACAAGAAUUAUGAAACGGAGAGAGUGCAUAAUAAUGAUCCGAAGACCCUGGGCUGUGACGGAUCUAGGAUUUUGCCAAGUUUUACAGGUGGUUCUAUCAAGUGGCAUGUAAUUUACGGAACAGGUGCACAAAGUUCUGUGAUCGAUCUAGGCGGAAUUGGACUAAAUCAAAAUCCUGUAGGAUUCAAAUGGACAUGUCACGGCAAUCAUGUGCUUUUUUUAUUUCUGUGUUUUUUUCUAU